GACGGACCGUACGAACGUUAUUCGGAAUUACUGGGCUUAAAGGGUGCGUAGGCGGCUCAGAAAGUUGAAUGUGAAAGCCCUCGGCUUAACCGAGGAAUUGCAUCCAAAACUACUGGGCUUGAGUGAGACAGAGGUGAGCGGAACUCACGGUGGAGCGGUGAAAUGCGUAGAGAUCGGAAAGAACACCAACGGCGAAAGCACUCUGCUGGGCCGACACUGACACUGAGAGACGAAAGCUAGGGGAGCGAAUGGG
This 253-nucleotide ribosomal RNA is filed under the name uncultured bacterium. RNAcentral's name for it is "partial 16S ribosomal RNA". It matches the Rfam family "Bacterial small subunit ribosomal RNA", at positions 524 to 776 of the family's 1533-position model. The record is from RNAcentral.